UCUGGUAGUUAUGGCGAGAAGGUCACACCCGUUCCCAUCCCGAACACGGUAGUUAAGCUU
Molecule: ribosomal RNA, 60 nt
Filed under: Listeria monocytogenes
Lineage: Bacteria; Bacillati; Bacillota; Bacilli; Caryophanales; Listeriaceae
Source: RNAcentral